This 291-nucleotide long non-coding RNA is filed under the name Mytilus galloprovincialis (Mediterranean mussel). The record is from RNAcentral. Lineage: Eukaryota; Metazoa; Mollusca; Bivalvia; Mytilida; Mytilidae.
GCCGCCAUGGUAUAUUGCACGCUUUACAUGCUGAAAAGGACUAGACCGAGUCGUGGGAAUAGCCUCAAUAAGUCUUUCCUCUCCCAAAAACGCAUGUUUUCUUGCUUUGUACUCAUUCUAAAUGCUAAAGUCACAUCUUCAAACGCCAUCCAUGUCACCAACGCAGUUCCUUUUCCAGCAAACGUGUAAUCUCUCAAUGCCUAGUGCAUUUGAAAGGUCAUGUAUAGAUAUAUAUCUAAAGUUUUUCCCACUUCCAAAUGCAAACCAAAGUUCGUCUGCCCCUAUGUCACG